CGUAGGGUGCAAGCGUUAAUCGGAAUUACUGGGCGUAAAGCGUGCGCAGGCGGUUUUGUAAGACAGGCGUGAAAUCCCCGGGCUCAACCUGGGAAUUGCGCUUGUGACUGCAAGGCUGGAGUGCGGCAGAGGGGGAUGGAAUUCCGCGUGUAGCAGUGAAAUGCGUAGAUAUGCGGAGGAACACCGAUGGCGAAGGCAAUCCCCUGGGCCUGCACUGACGCUCAUGCACGAAAGCGUGGGAGCAAACAGGAUU
This 253-nucleotide ribosomal RNA is filed under the name uncultured bacterium. Its description in RNAcentral is "partial 16S ribosomal RNA". It matches the Rfam family "Bacterial small subunit ribosomal RNA", at positions 526 to 779 of the family's 1533-position model. The record is from RNAcentral.